GAGUUUGAUCAUGGCUCAGGACGAACGCUGGCGGCGUGCCUAACACAUGCAAGCCGAAGGAAAGUAGCAAUAUGAGUACUUGGCGCAAGGGUGCGUAAUGCAUAGGUAAUCUGCCUUUUGGAUGAGAAUAACUCAGCGAAAGUUGAGAUAAUACUCAAUGAUGCAGCGGCUCCGCAUGGAGACAGUUGUUAAAGAUUUAUCGCCAAAAGAUGAGCCUAUGUUCUAUCAGAUAGUUGGUGGGGUAACGGCCUACCAAGUCUACGACAGAUAGCUGGUCUGAGAGGAUGAUCAGCCACAUGGGAACUGAGACACGGUCCCAACUUCUACGGAAGGCAGCAGUGAGGAAUAUUGCUCAAUGGGUGAAAGCCUGAAGCAGCAACGCCGCGUGGGCGACGAAGGUCUUCGGAUUGUAAAGCCCUUUUGCAGGGGACGAAUAUCCUGUUCUACGGGACUGACGGUACUCUGCGAAUAAGCCACGGCUAACUCUGUGC
RNAcentral lists this ribosomal RNA (491 nucleotides) under uncultured Chlorobiota bacterium. Its description in RNAcentral is "bacterial SSU rRNA". It matches the Rfam family "Bacterial small subunit ribosomal RNA", at positions 9 to 508 of the family's 1533-position model. The record is from RNAcentral. Lineage: Bacteria; Pseudomonadati; Chlorobiota.